RNAcentral lists this ribosomal RNA (2371 nucleotides) under Escherichia coli. RNAcentral's name for it is "bacterial LSU rRNA". It matches the Rfam family "Bacterial large subunit ribosomal RNA", at positions 591 to 2925 of the family's 2925-position model. Lineage: Bacteria; Pseudomonadati; Pseudomonadota; Gammaproteobacteria; Enterobacterales; Enterobacteriaceae. The record is from RNAcentral.
GUGUGACUGCGUACCUUUUGUAUAAUGGGUCAGCGACUUAUAUUCUGUAGCAAGGUUAACCGAAUAGGGGAGCCGAAGGGAAACCGAGUCUUAACUGGGCGUUAAGUUGCAGGGUAUAGACCCGAAACCCGGUGAUCUAGCCAUGGGCAGGUUGAAGGUUGGGUAACACUAACUGGAGGACCGAACCGACUAAUGUUGAAAAAUUAGCGGAUGACUUGUGGCUGGGGGUGAAAGGCCAAUCAAACCGGGAGAUAGCUGGUUCUCCCCGAAAGCUAUUUAGGUAGCGCCUCGUGAAUUCAUCUCCGGGGGUAGAGCACUGUUUCGGCAAGGGGGUCAUCCCGACUUACCAACCCGAUGCAAACUGCGAAUACCGGAGAAUGUUAUCACGGGAGACACACGGCGGGUGCUAACGUCCGUCGUGAAGAGGGAAACAACCCAGACCGCCAGCUAAGGUCCCAAAGUCAUGGUUAAGUGGGAAACGAUGUGGGAAGGCCCAGACAGCCAGGAUGUUGGCUUAGAAGCAGCCAUCAUUUAAAGAAAGCGUAAUAGCUCACUGGUCGAGUCGGCCUGCGCGGAAGAUGUAACGGGGCUAAACCAUGCACCGAAGCUGCGGCAGCGACGCUUAUGCGUUGUUGGGUAGGGGAGCGUUCUGUAAGCCUGUGAAGGUGUGCUGUGAGGCAUGCUGGAGGUAUCAGAAGUGCGAAUGCUGACAUAAGUAACGAUAAAGCGGGUGAAAAGCCCGCUCGCCGGAAGACCAAGGGUUCCUGUCCAACGUUAAUCGGGGCAGGGUGAGUCGACCCCUAAGGCGAGGCCGAAAGGCGUAGUCGAUGGGAAACAGGUUAAUAUUCCUGUACUUGGUGUUACUGCGAAGGGGGGACGGAGAAGGCUAUGUUGGCCGGGCGACGGUUGUCCCGGUUUAAGCGUGUAGGCUGGUUUUCCAGGCAAAUCCGGAAAAUCAAGGCUGAGGCGUGAUGACGAGGCACUACGGUGCUGAAGCAACAAAUGCCCUGCUUCCAGGAAAAGCCUCUAAGCAUCAGGUAACAUCAAAUCGUACCCCAAACCGACACAGGUGGUCAGGUAGAGAAUACCAAGGCGCUUGAGAGAACUCGGGUGAAGGAACUAGGCAAAAUGGUGCCGUAACUUCGGGAGAAGGCACGCUGAUAUGUAGGUGAAGUCCCUCGCGGAUGGAGCUGAAAUCAGUCGAAGAUACCAGCUGGCUGCAACUGUUUAUUAAAAACACAGCACUGUGCAAACACGAAAGUGGACGUAUACGGUGUGACGCCUGCCCGGUGCCGGAAGGUUAAUUGAUGGGGUUAGCGCAAGCGAAGCUCUUGAUCGAAGCCCCGGUAAACGGCGGCCGUAACUAUAACGGUCCUAAGGUAGCGAAAUUCCUUGUCGGGUAAGUUCCGACCUGCACGAAUGGCGUAAUGAUGGCCAGGCUGUCUCCACCCGAGACUCAGUGAAAUUGAACUCGCUGUGAAGAUGCAGUGUACCCGCGGCAAGACGGAAAGACCCCGUGAACCUUUACUAUAGCUUGACACUGAACAUUGAGCCUUGAUGUGUAGGAUAGGUGGGAGGCUUUGAAGUGUGGACGCCAGUCUGCAUGGAGCCGACCUUGAAAUACCACCCUUUAAUGUUUGAUGUUCUAACGUUGACCCGUAAUCCGGGUUGCGGACAGUGUCUGGUGGGUAGUUUGACUGGGGCGGUCUCCUCCUAAAGAGUAACGGAGGAGCACGAAGGUUGGCUAAUCCUGGUCGGACAUCAGGAGGUUAGUGCAAUGGCAUAAGCCAGCUUGACUGCGAGCGUGACGGCGCGAGCAGGUGCGAAAGCAGGUCAUAGUGAUCCGGUGGUUCUGAAUGGAAGGGCCAUCGCUCAACGGAUAAAAGGUACUCCGGGGAUAACAGGCUGAUACCGCCCAAGAGUUCAUAUCGACGGCGGUGUUUGGCACCUCGAUGUCGGCUCAUCACAUCCUGGGGCUGAAGUAGGUCCCAAGGGUAUGGCUGUUCGCCAUUUAAAGUGGUACGCGAGCUGGGUUUAGAACGUCGUGAGACAGUUCGGUCCCUAUCUGCCGUGGGCGCUGGAGAACUGAGGGGGGCUGCUCCUAGUACGAGAGGACCGGAGUGGACGCAUCACUGGUGUUCGGGUUGUCAUGCCAAUGGCACUGCCCGGUAGCUAAAUGCGGAAGAGAUAAGUGCUGAAAGCAUCUAAGCACGAAACUUGCCCCGAGAUGAGUUCUCCCUGACUCCUUGAGAGUCCUGAAGGAACGUUGAAGACGACGACGUUGAUAGGCCGGGUGUGUAAGCGCAGCGAUGCGUUGAGCUAACCGGUACUAAUGAACCGUGAGGCUUAACCUUACAACGCCGAAGCUGUU